CUGCCGCCCGCCUGCCGCCGCCGGGCCCGCGGGGCCGCGUUGUCCGCCGGCCGGAGUCGCAGCAGCCAGAGAUGGAUUUGCGGGCAUGGAGACUGUGGGGAAGGAUCCGGUUCCUGCUGGCAGAGAAGGCUGGCUGCUGACCCAGGGUGUGUCUCCAGGAGGCCGGCCAGGCUGCCCGGUUCCCCACCUCACCACCAUGGGCUGCCCAGGCUGACCAGUCGAUUCCUGCUGGA
This 233-nucleotide long non-coding RNA is filed under the name Moschus moschiferus (Siberian musk deer). RNAcentral describes it as "lncRNA (ENSMMSG00000023810.1)". The record is from RNAcentral. Lineage: Eukaryota; Metazoa; Chordata; Mammalia; Artiodactyla; Moschidae.